This 418-nucleotide long non-coding RNA is filed under the name Ananas comosus (pineapple). Its description in RNAcentral is "long non-coding RNA (ACOM_LNC027996)". The record is from RNAcentral. Lineage: Eukaryota; Viridiplantae; Streptophyta; Magnoliopsida; Poales; Bromeliaceae.
CGACGAUUGCAUAUCAUCAUAUAUCACUAAAAAUGCCUUAGCUCCUAAUUGUUUUCUAAACAUUCCUUUAAUUCCUACUAUAGUUAAUCCUAAAUGCGUAAGUCCUAAAUUUUGUUUUAACAUUUUUUCUUCUGACUCUUUAUCAAUAAAUUCUAAACCAACAUUCUGAUGAGUUAGUGUCCUAGAAUCUUUUCUGUUGUUAUCUUGGAGCCUUUAUUAUAGUGGAAUCUGACGUGUCCUGUACGAUUGAAAUUUUUCGGUAUGGAUGAUGAAGAUUUUUUUUUUUUUAAUAAGUGUGAAGCAUGUUUUUAAGAAGCAUGUAUUAAAUGUAUUGAGAAAACAUACAAUAUCAUAUUAAGACUCGCUAUUAAUACUUAUAUGAAAAUAAGUUACAAUAUACGACUGCUAUAAAACAGAU